UGAGGAAUAUUGGUCAAUGGGCGCAAGCCUGAACCAGCCAUGCCGCGUGCAGGAUGAAGCAUCUAUGGUGUGUAAACUGCUUUUGUACGGGAAGAAACCACCCCUCGUGAGGGGUAUUGACGGUACCGUAAGAAUAAGGAUCGGCUAACUCCGUGCCAGCAGCCGCGGUAAUACGGAGGAUCCAAGCGUUAUCCGGAAUCAUUGGGUUUAAAGGGUCCGUAGGCGGUUUAAUAAGUCAGUGGUGAAAGCCCAUCGCUCAACGAUGGAACGGCCAUUGAUACUGUUAGACUUGAAUUACAAGGAAGUAACUAGAAUAUGUAGUGUAGCGGUGAAAUGCGUAGAUAUGCGGAGGAACACCGAUGGCGAAGGCAAUCCCCUGGACCUGUACUGACGCUCAUGCACGAAAGCGUGAGGAGCAAACA
RNAcentral lists this ribosomal RNA (422 nucleotides) under uncultured bacterium. RNAcentral describes it as "bacterial SSU rRNA". It matches the Rfam family "Bacterial small subunit ribosomal RNA", at positions 355 to 774 of the family's 1533-position model. The record is from RNAcentral.